Molecule: long non-coding RNA, 32553 nt
Filed under: Sorghum bicolor (sorghum)
Lineage: Eukaryota; Viridiplantae; Streptophyta; Magnoliopsida; Poales; Poaceae
Description: long non-coding RNA (SBIC_LNC007547)
Source: RNAcentral
AUCACGGCAGUGAUGGAUCAGCAAUUGCUUCAGAGCCGUGAGGUCCUUUAUCCCCUCCGGCAAGGAUUUGAUGCCCGGGCAGCAGUCGAUUCUGAGCUUUUGAAGAGAGGUGGUGAGGCGGCAGAUGGAUUGUGGAAGGCAAGUCAGCUCUGGCAAGUCUGUAAUCUCGAGUUUGCGUAGAGAGCAGAGUUCUCCGAGGCAGUCCGGCAACUGUUGAACUGCAUCGCAAUGUUUUAUCUCGAGCAACUGGAGGGAUGUGAGUUGACCCAUUGUUUUGGGGAGGCUGGUCAGGCUACGGCAGAAAUUGAUGGCCAACUCUUGCAGACACCGGAGUUCCCCUAGCGACUCGGGUAACUGGUGAAGUGCUUCGCAUGAUUGUAUUACGAGCUUCUGGAGGGAUGUGAGUUGACCCAUUGUUUGGGGGAGGCUGGUCAGUCUAUCGCAUGUUUCGAUGGCCAACUCUUGCAGAGACCGGAGUUCCCCUAGCGACUCGGGUAGCUCGCGGAUAUCAUCCCAGCCAUGCACCCUCAGGGAUCUCAGGGAUGUGAGGCUCCACAAGGUCGCAGGCACCUCGGUGUGCACUCCAGAGAAUCUAAAAAUCUGCAAUGACUCGAGUGCCGUCAUGUGGUGCAGCAGCUCCCACCCACCCAUUCCUGUCACUUUCCGUAGUUCAAACUCCUUCAGAUUGUUAAAACUGGGUGAGGAAGAAGGCCCCUGGCAUUGGCCUGGCAACUGCAGCAGCUGCUCACUUCCCUGCAACACUAAAUGCUGCAGUGACGGAGGAAGGUGCGGCAUCACCUCCAACUUAGGACAAUCCUCAAUCUUUAACUCUGUUAAGCGGCUACCAACUCGGACUUGUCCGAAAUGAGGUGUUAAAUUGUAGUUGUAGCAGCCUCCCUCAUUUUCUACAUCGGGCACGGUCCUCUCUGGUACCAUCCACACCCGUCCCAAACGAGGCAGUUUACACAUCUCCAACUUCACCAGUGAAGGAAAUGGGCCUCCACUUAUGCUCUCAACAGAAGGCAUACUUUGCAGCCAAAGCUCCUCCAAACAAGGUAGUUCGACAAGCCCAUCUAGAUGCUUCAAGUUUGGGAAAUCAAAUAGCUUCAUCACCCUCAAAAAUGGGAAGGGGGCAGGGCCCUGUACUCCACCACCAACUUGACUCUGCAUCCACCCUGCAUAUUGCCUACCUGAAUACCCAGAAAUGUGCAGCAUUUGAAUACCAGAUGGUGGUUCUAGGGCAUCAAGCACAUCUUGCUGCAACUCAGUGUUUACCUCUUCCAUGUUCUUCGACAUCCAAUUUAGUUCCAACCUCUGUAAGUUUAUCUUCUGUUUCAAGCAUGCCACAUGUGCAUCAUUCGUAUCCAUCACAUGUUGAAUAUCUAUGAUUGUUAGUUCCUCACCCAACCUAGAUACAUUUGCAAGCUCAGAUAUUCGAGCAAACUUUUCUCCCUUACCAAUACAAAAUAAGCCCAACUUUUGAAGUCGACUGAGCUGUCCAAUACCUACAGGCAUUCCUCCCAAUUUUGUACAACCUUUUAGGUUCAAAACUUGAAGCUUAUCCAAGUUGCCGAUGCCUUCAGGUAGCUCUACUAGCCAACUACAUUUAUGAAGGUCCAAACACUCCAGAUUUUCCAGUUUUGUCAUACUUGAUGGUAGCCUCUGAACGUUGGUGAAACCUAGUCUCAACAAUCUUAGCAUUUUGUUUCUGCAGAUGGAAUCUGGCAAGCAUUUCAGCUCUCUACACCCUGACAGGUUCAAUGUUCUUAACAUCUGCAACUUACCAAUUGAGUCUGGCAACAUCAUAAGCUGAAUGCAAGCGCAAAGAUCAAUACUUGAAAUCAUAUGGCAAUCACCAAUAGAAUCUGGCAAGCAUUUCAGCUCUCUACACCAUGACAGGUUCAAUGUUCUUAACAUCUGCAACUUACCAAUUGAGUCUGGCAACACUGUAAGCUGAAUGCAAUAGUAAAGAUCAAUACUUGAAAUCAUAUGACAAUCACCAAUAGAAUCUGGCAAACACUUUAGAUUCAUACAUCUCGAUAACUUUAUUGUUCUUAACAUUCUCAUCUUACAAAUUGAUUUUGGUAUCUCGACAAGUGAAAAGCUGAGUUCUACAAGAAGUGCUUGCAGGCUCCAAACAUCUGACAUAGUCUCAGGAAGUGUUUCACAAUCUAGUUCUGAAACGGCAAGAUAUUUGAGAUAUUUAACUUGAGACAUGGUGUUAGCUCCUUCUGCAUUGAGAUAUCCCACCGUAACACUACGCAAGUGCUUUGCAUGCUUCAGUGCCAUGGCAUAUAUGUAAUCUUCAUACUUAGGCAUAUAUACAGCACGUGCUUUUCUAAAAAAAAUUUUAGGUGCCAUAUGUUCUGUCUGUUUAAUCAAAGAAAAAUAUCUAUAGCUCUUUGUGGUACUGCUGCUUGCCUCAUUUGGCAUGUCAAGCGAAAUUUCAUCACCCAAGAUGGACAAGGCAAGAUCAUGAACCAAAUCAUGCAUCCAACAUGUCACUCUCCCAUCUUGUUCUUUGACAUUUUGUAGGAAUGACGCUUGCACAAGAGAAUUAAAGUGCUUGUGUCCAACAUCCAAGUAGCCAAUACCAUUCUCUAGAAUGAUCAUAUCAUGAGCAAUCCAUAGGUCAAUCAGUUGUUGUUUAUCAAUCUUAUGACCUUUGGGAAACACUGAACAUAUUGUAAAGCACUGUUUGAGAUUAGAUGGCAGAUGGAAAUAGCUUAACCUUAAGCAUGCAGCCACUCUAUCUUCUCUACCAUUAAAAUUUGAUAAGUUUUUGUCUCUCAUGGCCUGCCACUCCUCUAUCAGAUCCUUGCCAUGGAGAGAACCUGCAAGAACUUUAAUUGCUAGAGGCACCCCACCACAUUUGUCCACAAUCGCCUUCCCAACCUCUUCAAAUUCAAAAUUCCAACCUGUAGCAGGUGUUACCAAACUUUGUUGGAAUAGUUGCCAGCUGUCAUCUGGAGAUAAGAAUGGCAAGUGAAAUUGGUCGGUGGAUCCCACUAUUACCGCAACUUCUGUAUUUCGAGUAGUAAGUAAAAUCCUGCUUUGAGGUGCACCCACCUUUAUAUAUACCAUGAAUUCUUCCCACUCAUCUCGUGAGUUAGUCCAAACAUCAUCCAAUACAAGAAGAAACUUUUUUCCAUUCAACUUGUCUGAGAUUGUUUUGGUCAUAUAAGGCAAGGCAUGUGGUCCUGGAUUAUUUUCAGAAAAAGCUUCAAACACUUUUUUGAUGAGAUCUUUGACAUCAAAUUCUUGUGACACAUGAACCCAUAGUCUAACUUCAAAAUGUUUCUCUAUAAUGUUACCAUCAUUGAAAACCAGUUUAGCCAAGGUAGUCUUCCCUGAUCCGCCAAGCCCAAUGACAGAAACUAUCUUAAUUUUCUGUAGAUCAUCAUUCGCUUCAAGCAUGGAUAUUAUCUUCUGCUUAUCUUUAUCUCUUCCAACUACUAAUUCCUCAUCAACGUUGGACAAUGAUAGCACCUCCUUUGUUUUCAUGUUUGUAUGUCGAACUGGAGGAUCCACUGAUAAACUAUUCUUUAUUGCAAUGUAUUCAGUUCUUUGCUUCACAAUUGCAGCAAAUCUCUUCUUAAUUGCCUUGAUCUUGUUGGCUGCCUUGCAUUGAAAUACAAAUGAUUUUGGUAUUGUGCAAAGAUAAUUGGACACAAUGCCACCAUCACUAUUGGAGUCAUGUUUUUCAGCCUUUAGCUGGAACUCAUCAACAACAUCAUCAACAUCAUAAGAAAUAUCUUUCAACUUUUUGAGCCAAGAAAAUGAUUGUUUACUUCCAACAGAAUUGUCUGUUGUUGUUUCCAGCCAAAAGUUGAUCUCCGCAACAAGAUCAUGGAGCUCCUGGAGAUCUUCCUUAACACCCACUAUAGAGCUGUACUCUUUGAUUAGCAGUGGAGCUAAUUUGUUGACCACAAUCUUCAAGGUUCCGGAUACUACAGCAGAAAUGGCAGCAGCUUCUACACCUGUCAUUUUUCUUAAAGAUUCUCCCGUCCCAGAGAUUUCCUGCAAAAAUGAAUUCACAGUGAGCUGCCAGCCUGCCAAUCAAGAAGGCAGAAUAUAUAAAAAAAAGUUGUACCAAAAUAUGGCUCUAUAUGCAUGGUGCAACUAAUCAUUCCUAUUGUGCUUUCAUGUGUAAUAGUGUUUUUUGUUUGCUGCACUAACGCGUGAACAAUACCGACAACAAUUUGAGAAAAGAUUUCAUUCAAAUAAUAAUCUGGUAGAAGUGCAGAAAACUGUAGUUGAUAUAUUUAAGAUGUCUGACCUUGGUAAACAGGGGCUCAAGUACACAUCCUGCCUUUUGAUCUUCACGUUAUUGAAGUGCUUCUUUGCAAAUAAUGUACUCCCUCUGUUCCAAACUAUAAGAAGCGUCAUCUAUGUCAGGAAAUCAAAGAGUACGGGAUACAAAGUACUCCACCGUUUCAAAUUAUAAGACGUAUUUAUAAGACAGAUAAUCUUAGAUAUAUACUAUGACAAAUAAUCUUAGAUAUAUACUAUGACAAAACGUCUUAUAAUCUAUGUCAAAGAGCUUACUAAGUUUUUAGACAUAGUAUAUAUCUAAGUAUAUAGCAAAUCUAUGUAUCUAAAAAAGCCAGAACACAUAUUAUAAUUAGGAAUGGAGUACAUGAAAAUGAACUAUUUAACCACGGCCUCUAGAACUGAACAUAGCGGUACUGUGUCCAGAUGAUCUAUGAGUCUGUGAGUUUUAUGACUGAUGAGUGUUCCAGUAUUAAGUACCUUAAGAGUAUACAAAAAGGCCUAUAAUGUGCUAAGAAAGGUAUAGGCAUCAGAGAUGAGAUGAAGAUCAUAGACUGGAGCAAGAACCAUAAUAAAAUAGGAUGCUACAUUAUUUGUCAGAAAUAAACUAAAUACCUGGAGCUAAGGGAUGUGCUGCCGUUGCUUGUUCAAUCUCCAAAUAUGAUCUUCCUUUUCUCCUCUACAGACCAGACAUCCGAAUCUGUGUUGCACAGUGCAGGCUUGAGCCUAGAUCUUGAUGGCCAGUGAUGAGCACUUGGGAUCUGGUUGCUUGUGAUGCUUCGUUGCCAACUAAUCAACUGUUAGAUACAAGGACACAAUGUAGAGCAGGAAUGCUAGACUCCGACUAUCUCUCUACGCCGAUGAUGCUGUUAUCUUCAUCAACCCAAUCAGGGAGGAGGUCACAGCGCUGUUUGAAAUCCUCGAGCAGUUUGGAGCGACAACCGGCCUAAAGCUAAAUAUUGGAAAAUGCACAGUAGCCCCUAUCAGAUGUGCUGAGAUCAACCUAGAUCAUGUUCUUGAGGGUUAUAGAGGAAAUAAAACAAACUUUCCAAUCACAUACCUGGGUCUACCAUUGUCCUUAGGUAGGCUGAAGGUUGUGCACCUGCAAAAGAUUGUUGAUAAAUCAAGAUCUCGGUUAGCUGCGUGGCAAGGAAGACUAAUGAACCCGGCGGACAGGCGAGAAUUGGUACGCUCUGUGCUUAGCUCCAUGCCUGUAUACCUAAUGACUACUCUCAAGGCGCCAAAGCAGCUGAUUGCGGACAUUGAUCAAAUGAGGCGUCGCUUCCUUUGGGCGGGAGAUAAUGAGAUUUCAGGAGGCAAAUGCAAAGUGGCUUGGACAGCUGUGGCCAAGCCGGAGGAGUUUGGUGGAUUGGGCAUUAUUGAUUUAGAUAAAUUCAGCAGGGCACUGCGCCUUAGAUGGCUUUGGUUCCAGUGGACUAAACCAGAAAGACCAUGGAAUGGGUCUGAACUACCAGUGAAUGCUGAUGAUGUGGCGCUCUUCAAUGCAGCUACAACUGUCACCGUUCGAGAUGGAAGGAAGGCCUCCUUCUGGCACUCUAGUUGGAUCGAAGGGAGAGCACCGGCCAGUCUGUGGCCGCGGCUGUACGCCCACAGCAGGAAAAAGAAUAGGACAGUCAGAGAAGCAUUGUUGAAUAGAAGAUGGGUGAGUGAUAUUGCACACAAUCUGAAUCAGGAUCUGCUUAAGGAAUAUUUUGAGUUCUGGUUGGCUAUCGACCGUGUCAGGCCAGCUCUAGAUGAGGCAGGUGGAGACAUAAUUAUCUGGGGCCUUGAAAGUUCAGGUCAAUACUCCAGCAAAUCGGCAUACAUGAUUCAGUUUGCUGGCCAAAGUCCAAUCCCCUUUCCCAGCCUUAAUCUGGAAAGCCUGGGCACCGCCAAAGUGCAAAUUCUUCUUAUGGCUGCUGCUAAAAAACAGGCUAUGGACCUCAGCACGUCUGCAACAGCGUCAUUGGAAGAAUAACUACUUCUGCGCACUAUGUGAAAGAAACCUGGAGACAGCACACCACUUAUUCUUUGAAUACCCCUACUCUCGACUAGUUUGGCAAGCUGUAUCGAGUUCAUGCCCUAGCUUGCAGCCGGCUUCAUGGGAAGACAGGAGCCGCCUCGAGGACUGUUUCAGCCAAACCUUGACAACAGGGGAGAAGAAGGCGCAUACAUUGGCAAUCCUAACUCUAUGGAGCAUUUGGAACCGACGAAAUGCAGUUGUUUUCAGGGAAGAUCGAAAGACGACCAUUUCACUAGUGGUGGAGAUUAAGGACAUGGCUCGCCAAUGGUCGUUGGCAGGAUGCAAAGCUCUUAGGCCUCUUAUGGUUGCACAUGUAAUUAGUGAGUAAUUAGCUAAGAACAAAAGCCCCACGCGGUCUAGGCUGCGUGGGGGAGCGCUGCUCGCGCUUGUAACCCGAUGUUUCCUGCUUCUCCUCUUAUUAUUAAUCAAAGCCGGUAAAACCGGAUCUUUAAAAAAAAAUGUAGAGCAGAAAGGUAGGCGUCAGAGAUGAAUGAAAGAGAUCUUGGAUGAAUUUGACCGGAGCAAGAAAUGGGAUGCUAUGUUGCACACCAGAGCUCAGGGAUCGGAAGCUAGCCUUUGAUAGUGCCGCCUCCCAAAUAGAACCUUCGAUUCCUUUGCUCCUUUGCUAUGUUGCACACCAAAACUUCUGGGAACUGGGAUUGCCUUAGCUAACUUGUGACAGCUUCCUUGUGAAGCUAAGCCUAAGCUAUCAGCUGCUGGCGGCUCAUGUAGUCAUGCCACAAGAUGGAGGGGCUCAUCAACAAGCAAAGAGAGGAACCAUCCGGGAAGAUGCCACGGAGUUGUGCUGCGCGUACCGUGGAGACCAGCGAGCCAAGAUUCCGAGGCCUUGUUUAGAUCCAAAUUCUUUUUUAUUUUGAGACUGUAGCAUUUUCAUCUGUAUUUGACAAACAUUAUCUAAUUAUAGACUAAUUAGAUUUAAAAGAUUCGUCUCACGGUUUAUAUGUAAAUUGUUAAUAAUUUUUUUAUCUAUAUUUAAUGCUCAAUGCAUGUGUCACAAGAUUUGAUGUGACGAAGAAUCUUAUAAACUUUUGGGUUUUUUGAGCGCAUCUAAACAAGACCUUUAUUUAGUUAGACGUUAAGGCCUUGUUUACUUAGCAAAAUUUUUUGGCUUUGGCUACUAUAACACUUUUGUUUAUAUUUGACAAUUAUUGAAUAACUAGACUCAAAAAAUUCGUCUUGAAAAUUCAAUUAGUUAUUUUUUAUCUAUAUUUAAUGCUCCAUGUAUGUGCCACAAGGAGUCUGUUUGCUUGUCUAUAAAGUCAUGACUAAAAGUAAUGUUCGUUGAUGUAUUAGGAGAGAAAGACGCUGCUGACUGGUGUGACGAAAAAUCUUGAAAACUUUGGAAAUCUUUUUAAGAACUAAACAGCCCCUAAAGCAACAACCAGGAUCGCUGCUUUCGAUGACUCGAGGUCCCCAGUUCCCACUAGUGGCACAUUUCAUCGAACGGGCCGCGCCCCAGGCUUAGUUAAUCCUUCACCAGCAGCAUAAGUAUGAUGUCGUCUUGGAGUUUAGGCAUCAUUGCAUUGGAUGCUUAUUGGAUGGAAAGGCGCACUAGCUAAGAACCUAAAAUAAUGCGUGCUGAACUGGAAGUGUCAGUCGGCGUUGAUGAUGGUUCAACCGUACCCAAACUUUGGUUACAUACAAAAUCAUGUACGGAGGCAGCCUCCAAAGUGAAAAAUAUAACCCAUGCGAGGCCGUAUCGAUCACUACAUUCCAUGGUGUGGAGAAAUAAAAAUAAUCCAUAUUCACCUGUGUUCAAUGCUCACUGCUUGCCUUCACUUGGGGACGCGUGUAACUUACAGGAAUGUCUGUUUCUUGUAUUCUAGGAAAGUAGUUUGCACAUGUACAUGAUUAAAUAUAUGAAAUUAACUACUAAUAAUGUUUAUAAUACAUAAUAUCAUUAAUUAGAUAGAUUCAUUAAUUUUAUGAUAAAUUUAUUCAGAGAUACAAGUGUUGCAAAUAUUUUUUUUUAAACUUAGUCAAACUUAGCGCAAUUCAUACGGUAUCACUUAAAUAAGGGAUGGAGGGAAAUGGCGACAAAUAUUGUUGGAAUUGCCUACUACGUCGGAGGGAAAAUUUGUUGUGGUUACAUACAAAAUCCUAUGAGAUUUCAAAGCAGCCCCCAAAGUGCAAGCAUAUAUAGAGUAUAUGACCCAUGCCAUGCCAGCCGUAUCACUACGUCAAUUCCACGGUCUGUUUCUUGUAUUCACAUGCAUGCUCGCGACAUACCUACUCCCACUACCCCAGUUGUAUUGGUAUCUGUUGCAAAGGUUUUGCUGUUGUACGCGUUGCAGUAGUACUAGGUAGCGUGCCCGUGCGUUGCUACGGGUUAGUAAACAAAUACACAGAUCGCACAAUAAGUAUAUAUUUCUGUAAAAUUUAAGUAUCAAUAUUAAAAUAACAUUAAAUACAAACCACAAAGUUUUAUGAAAUUAACAUCGUCAUGGAGAGCAGCCAUCGCAGACUCACAAACUCUACUUAAUAGAUUAGGUGAUGCAUCAGUAAUGUCAAUCAUGCCACUUUGAUCUAUACAUAUACUGAAGUAAUCAUCUACAUAUAUAUAAUAAAAUGGUAUGAACCUUGUCAUCGACAUCAUACAAGCAUAAGAAAAUAAAAUUAGUAGAAGGAAAAAAAACUGAAUCGAUACAUGUGUUAUCAUUAUCAAUCAUCAUGUGUGAGCUGUCUCGAUGUAGCAAAUCACUAUCUUCACAGGCAUCAAUGUUUUCCAUGGUUGAUUCAACUCCAACUGGUCUAUAUAUACAUCACUAUAUAUUAAAUAAACUUAAAAAUGGAAAUAUUGUAUUCAUAAAAAAGGAUUACAUGAUGAUAUCGUUCACGACAUUUUAAAUUUUUUCCAAUCUGUUCUUGAUGAUACUUUUCUCUAAGUUUUUUUUUCAUCCCUUUCCUCUUCGAGUCAUCAAUGCAUGCCGUGUUUUUUUCUCUUUCCUUUUUAUGAUGUACACGUUCAUCAAGUUAUGCUCAUGAAUUUGAUGUUGAUUGGCCAUCUCUUUGAAAAUAAGUUGAAAAUAACUUAUUGACCACAAAUAAGUUGGAAGCAUCUAUGGACAUCAGUAUAAACAAUUACCACCAUUGAUGGUGUUUGUCAAGUCUUCAAAUGGUGUACGACAUUCACUAUCUUGCAUAGGUUCCAUUAUAAUCAAACUGAACACAUAAUUAAAAUUUAAGUAUGAAUAUUAAAGAACAUGAUAAUUAUUUAUACACACAAUUAAACUGAACACACAAUUAAUAUUAAAGAUACAUGUGGUUCCUCUCUAUUACCGGUCGCAUUUGAAGUCACAAAUGAGAGGACAUUUAAGUAUCAAUAUCAAUAUUAAUUGUGGUUCCCCUCUAUCACUGGUCGUAUUUGUUCACACAUAAAUAGAUCAAAAUAUAAAAUGUCUAAUGCAAUGGUGUCAAAAGAAAACUCGGCUAACUGAUAAAUAAAGGAACACAUGUAUCUUUCAUCUAUUAAUGAAUACAAGCUAAUUUAUCAUGAUAGAACUUGGGAUGCAUCAAGGUAACAAAUCUUUUACUCAGAAAAUGAUGGACUGUGAAUAUCAAACUAAGGACACUGUGCACUAUCAGUUUAGAAACAAACUAAUUUCGCCUGCGAGCUUGCAGUAGUAGCAUUCAGGCUCAGUAUUUGCAGGUGUUGUCCUAAAAUAACAUUGAAAGCAACUUGACUGUCCUAAAUACGCUGAAAAUAUCAUGAAUAAACCAGAAAGCAUCAUAUGGUGAAAAUAACAUGAAUAGCAACUUGACUGUCCUAAAAUACAAACCAUCGUGUUGCUCACUGCAGACAGGAAAAUUCAGGUUCAGAUCAAUAAGAAAUUGCAGGUGUUGUCACAACACUUUCUAUCCAGCAUUCAGAAGCGCAUGAUUCACACACAAAAUAGGAGCAAUAAUCUAGUAGUAACAAGUCAAUACCAAUUUUAAACUGCUGCAUCCUCUCCGGCAUGAGAACCAAGUAACAAAGCAUAGAUUUUUCCGAACAAAUAUGCAGAGACACAGAAAAGGAGAGGGGAGCAAGGGAAGGACAUUGACCAGUUCCAAAGGCCGGUGUAAGAGACUAUGGCGUUGUGUGCAGCUUGGCGAGGUCGUCCAGAGGCGGUUCCUUAGCCUACAUGAAUUGACAAACAUAGGCCAUCACAAAUUAGAAAAAGACCAAUAACUGAACCUGAAAUGUGCGGCGGUUCCUUAGCAAUCUCCCAAUGAAAAACCUUUUACUCAGAAAUAUGGAGUUAUGGACACACAGAAAUUGUGAAGCAACAGUGACGCAACCUCCAGAAAAAAGAACAAUCGUUUGAAGCAAGACAUGUGUACCGAAGAAUUUCUGAAAAUAUCAUGAACAAACCAAGAAGCAGCAUAUGUUGAAAAUAACAUGAAUAUGACUGUCCUAAAAUACAAGCCAUCGUGUUGCUCACUGCAGACAGAAAAAUUCAGGUUCAGAUCAAUAAGAAAUUGCAGGUGCUGUCACAACACUUUCUAUCCAGCAUUCAGAAGCGCAUGAUUCACACACAAAACAGGAGCAAUAAUCUAGUAGUAACAAGUCAAUACCAAUUUUAAACUACUGCAUCCUCUCCGGCAUGAGAACCAAGUAACAAAGCAUAGAUUUUUCUGAACAAAUAUGCAGAGACACGGGAAAGGAGAGGGGAGCAAAGGAAGGACAUUGACCAGUUCCAAAGGCCGGUGUAAGAGACUAUGGCUUGCCUGCAGCUCAGCGAGGUCGUCCAGAGGCGGUUCCUUAGCCUACAUGAAUUGAGAAACAUAUGCCAUCACAAAUUAGAAAAAGACCAAUCACUGAACCUGAAAUGUGCGGCGGUUCCUUAGCAGUCUCCCAUGAAAAACCUUUUACUCAGAAAUAUAGAGUUAUGGACACACAGAAAUUGUGAAGCAAUAGUGACGCAACCUCCGGACAGAAGAACAAUCGUUUGAAGCAAGACAUGUGUACCGAAGAAUUUCUGAAAAUAUCAUGAAUAAACCAGGAAGCACCAUAUGGUGAAAAUAACAUGAAUAUGACUGUCCUAAAAUACAAGUCAUCGUGUUGCUCACUGUAGACAGAAAAAUUCAGGUUCAGAUCAAUAAGAAAUUGCAGGUGCUGUCACAACACUUUCUAUCCAGCAUUCAGAAGCACAUGAUUCACACAUAAAACAGGAGCAAUAAUCUAGUAGUAACAAGUCAAUACCAAUUUAAAACUACUGCAUCCUCUCCGGCAUGAGAACCAAGUAACAAAGCAUAGAUUUUCUGAACAAAUAUGCAGUGACAAAGGAAAGGAGAGGGAGCAAGGGAAGGACAUUGACCAGCAUAGAUUUUCUUUUGAGCCUAGUUAAUCCAUGAUUGGACAAUAAUUACCAAAUACAAACAAAAGUUCUAUAGUAGCCAAAUCCAAAAAAAAAAUUUGGAUCUAAACAAAGCCUAAGUCUAUGCUUGGAUUCUCAUCCGGAACAAAAUUCUGACGGCUUAUAACCUAGCGCCAAGAGGUUGGCAUCAUCAAAGUUGCUGCACACUCUGCAGCGGUCAGAUGAAACUGGAUCCCACAUGUGCUUACAUUGCCCCUUUGCUCAUGCUGUGUGGAACCAGGUCCUCACCUGGGAGCAUUUCGACAGCCAACAGCUAAUGAACUCCUCAAGUAUAAAUUAAUUCUGUAACAAUUGGUGGAGACUGGUGCUGCGCACAACUUACGUUUUGCCUUUCCUUUCCCACCCUGUGUGAUGCAUCCACGCUCAACUGCUAGGCAGCAUCUGGGGCUGUGUGUUUGAGAUUGUUGUUGCUUAACUCUUGUACAUAACUAAACUCCCUUUUUCAUUUGUGCUAAAGAAAAAAAUCAACAACCGCCGAUUCAUAUACCAAACAUGAAUGAAUUCAACCUCAGGGACUACCGAGAAAAAACUUAUACAGCAAGCCACGAUUCAGAUACCAAACGUGAAGUCAGCCAGAGGUCCCCUCCGGCCAGCCCAGGUUAACCCCCCACCUACCCCACGCCAUCGCCCCGCCCCCAACUCCCUGCUCUCCGGGGAGUGGGUAACAAACCCAAGUCGGCUCCAUCAGCGCGGAAGAUCACGGCAUAUCCCUCUCUUCGUCCCGCGGUAAAGGUGUAAGGCUCCGAUCUAGGGUUCCCUUCGUCGUUCUAGGUACUCGAUUAUUUCCUCCUGGCGUGUGGUUGGGAUUGAGAGGAAGAUGGCGACGGCGGGAGAGACUUACUGAUAGUGGAAACUUGCGACUUGACUGGGGUAGAAGAACGCCCUUGCUGUCGCUUCCUGCCUUUUUGCGGACGGAGCUGUCGCGGACGCGCGGACGUCGCUCCAAGACAGAGCUGUCGCGGACGGUGCGUACGACGCUCGAGGACGGCGCUCACGAGGAGGUCGCGGGCGGCGCUCGACGACGGCGCUCAACGGAGCUGUCGCGGAUGGUGCGGACGGCGCUCGCGCGGACGGCAGCGAACGCGGGCGGCGUUCGAGGACGGGGCUCGCGCGGACGGAUGAGCGGGGCCUCUUGCGCCGAGGAGCCGGAUCCGGGAGUGGGCGAUGCGGAGGAUACGGGACCGGGGCGCCGCGGAGGAUGAGGGGGGGCUCUGCGUCGAGGAUCUGAGCGGGGCGCCGAGGAGACGGAAGUGGGAGGGGGCGCCGCGAAGGAUGGAAGGGGAGCGGGGCGCCCCAAUUUUUUACAAUUUGGUCCUUUUUUUGAAAAAAGUUCACAAUUAGACCCCUGGAAAACUUAAGUGCAGAAAUGGACCCAGGGCUCGGCGCCAUGCAUCAUGGCGUCGAGGUAUCACGUCUCGGCGCCAUGGAUCACGGCGCCGAGCUCCUUGGGCCAAGCCAGCGUGGAUUUUGCGUGGCGGCUUGUGUGGCAAAAAAAAAAAAAAAAAAAAAAAAAACAAGUCGGCGCCAGAGAUCACGGCGCCGAGCUCGGCGCCACGGAUCUCGGCGCCGAGCUCGGCGCCACAGAUCUCGGCGCCGAGGUCCUUUCCAAAACGGCCGACCUCUUUCUCUUUGCUUCCUCUCUCCUCGCGCAGCGCUCUGCUCCUGCUCCCGCCCAACUCGCCUCGCCGCGCGCCCCGCGCUGCUCCUCCUCCGCCGCGCGCCUCGCCGCGCUCGCCGCGCGCCUCGCCGCGCCCCUCGCCGCGCGCCGCGCGUGCCUCGCCGCGCGCCUCGCCGCGCUCGCCGCGCGCCGCGCGUGCCUCGCCACGCCGCGCACCGCCGCGCUCGCCGCAGCUCGCCACGCCGCGCUCGCCGCAGCUCGCCACGCCGCCCCGCGCACCGCGUGGCCCGCGGCGCCUCCUCAACCGCGGCUUGGCCGGCUCGUGCCGUGGUCCUGUGCGGCCGCCGGCGGGCGGGCAGCCGGCGCCCACCCGAGGUAAAUUUUUUUUUAAUUUUCAGUUUGUAGUUGGCAUUUUUUUAUUAUUUAGGUUGUUUUGUAAUGUUUAAUUUAGUUAUCAGUUAAUAAUAAUUUAGUUAGUUAUUAGUUUUAUUAGUUUUAUAAUUUAGUUAUCACUAAAUAAUAAUUUAGUUAGUUAUUAGUUUUAUUAGUGUUAUAAUUUAGUUAGGUAUUUCAUCUAGCAAUUUUUUAGUUAGUAAAGUUUUGGUGUCAAUUAAGUUAGAUAGGUAGUACUUGUAAUAAACGUAGUUACCAAAGAUACUUAGGAUAUGUAAUAAUAUUAUGUAUUUUCAUGUCGUAUGUUCUUAUUAACAUAGUUAUGUAGUUAGCAAAUUUAGUUAUAUAGUUGGGUAGGUAGAUUAUUAUUAAAAUAGAUACACAUAUACAUAAUAAUUCGUAUGUGUACUAUAGUUGUAGUUGUAUUAGUUAUAUGCCUAGUAACAUGGUUGUUUUGUGUAUCAAUUAGAUGGACAAUUUAGUAACCUUAUAUCAUGGAGGAAGUGUGGAGAAAGAUCAGUUUGGCAAUGUUGAUUUUGUUGGAAUGGAAACGGUCCCUUUGAUGUUUGAUGAGCGGCCCUUGUUUUCUGAAUUGAUGGGUAGUGCUCGUGAUGAGCUUAAAUGUAAUUCGAAUGAAGAAGAAAUCUUAGUUGAGGGGGUCAUUCACCAUGGCGGGUCAGGAACAAUUUUUAGGCGGUUGGUCCCAAUUGUAUCCGAGGUUCAAUGGGACAAAUAUGUCAAAACUGUCAUGAAGAGUGAGUUUAAAUGUUUGGAUUUGGUUGUGCGCAACUUGUCCAAGGAGCCAGGCCCUCUAGUGGAUUCUCCUCUUAAUUGGCAACCACCCAUUGGCCCUCUAGUGGACAAUCCGGCACCCUCAGCUUCUCUGAUACCCAUUCAGAACGUGGGUGUGGAAGAUGUGGUUGCCGUUCCUGAUGCUCAAUCCGGUCCCAAUGAGGUUGGCUGCGUACAUACCCCUAUGACCCAGACAAUUCCAUGUAAGUGGCGUAGUUGCAUUAUUCAUUUUGUUAGCAUUCCUUCGUUCGAUUUAGUUGUCUCAAUUGUAUGCAUAUUUGUGGUUUUGUUGUAGGUGACAAUCCAAGUAAUGAUUGUUGUCAUCCUGUGCCUCCAACAUUUAAUGUUGACGCAGCUUUUAUAGCAUCUAAUAGUUUGGAUGUUAAUAUUGAGGAUGAUGAGGAGCCCUAUGGCACAGCUAGAGCUGUUGAUUCCGAUGAUGACCGGCCAGUUGCACCUUUAAGUGAACAAGAAAUGGAGCUUAUCAGACGUUUUUGUCCUGAUCGUGAUCCACUAGUUCACGAGUUUAGUGACCUCAGUCAUUCUCAAAAUGCUUAUGCAGAGGGAAGAGAUGAUGAGCUGCUGGAGGCUCCUGAGCCUGGUGAGAGUGUGCAAAUUCAGAAGGGCAUGAUCUUUAAUGAUUUGCCCAGCUUAAGAAGGUGGUUGCAACAAUAUUCUGUAAUACGUAAAAGACCCUUCAAGGUGAUGCACUCUCAUGUUGAGCGCCGCUACACGGUUGUGUGUGAGAUGUCAGAUUGCAACUGGAGGGUCUGUGCUCGUAAACAGAAGGCCACCGGGAAGUUUAAGAUCACAAAAAUUGUAGGUCCACACACUUGUGCCCAGACUGACCUUCAACAGAAGCAUCGACAGUUGACCUCUACACUUAUUGCUAGUACGUUAUGCACAACUUUAAAGGGUCAGCCCAACUUGAAGGUCAGAACAAUUAUGGACAUGGCUCAGAAGAUAUUUAAAUAUGACAUAAAGUAUGGCAAAGCAUGGAGGGCAAAGCAAAGGGCCUGGAAGAUGAUAUAUGGGGACUGGGAGGAGGGGUACGAGCAGCUGCCAGCAAUGUUCAAUGCAAUGAAAGCAGCUAAUCCAGGCAUGCAUUACGAGUACAUUCCGAAGCCUAAUGAAUGGAGGAAUGGGAGGCAGAUAUUCUUUCGUGCAUUCUGGUGUUUUCCACAGUGUGUCCAGGCCUUUAGGCACUGCCGUCCAGUGUUAUCAAUUGAUGGUACUUUUCUGCUUGGCAAGUACAUGGGCACUCUUUUGGUAGCCAUUUCCUGUGACGCUGACAACGCAUUGGUUCCUUUGGCUUUUGCUUUGGUGGAGAGAGAGAACAAAGACAGCUGGGGUUGGUUCAUGCGCCUAGUUCGUAUACAUGUCAUUGGCCCACAUAGGGAGGUUGGUGUCAUAUCUGAUAGGCACCAGGGCAUACUCAGUGCCGUACAGGAGCAGAUUCCUGGUUAUGCACCUUUGCACCAUCGUUGGUGUACUAGACACCUUGCAGAGAAUUUACUUCGGAAAGAUGGUACGAAGGACAACUUUCCUCUAUUCGAGGAGGUUGCUCGAAUGCUUGAGGUGCCGUUUUUUGAGGAGAAGUUGGAGCAGUUAAAAACCGCAACAAAUGCAGAAGGUAGGCAGUGGCUGCUAGGUUUGAUGAGGGAACCUGAGAAAUGGACAAGAGCCCAUGAUAAUGGUGGAUGGAGGUACGAGUUUCAGACUAGCAACAUGGCAGAGUCAUUUAACAGUGUGCUCAAGGGUAUACGUGCCAUGCCAGUCAAUGCCAUUGUAUCUUUUACCUUUUAUAGACUAGUGGCCUGGUUCAACGAUAGACAUGCUCAAGCAUUGCAAUUACAGAGUAAUAAUAUGAAAUGGGCACCUAGAGCUAAGAAGCACCUUGACAAGGCAAAGGAAAGGGCUAGAACACAUGACAUUGAGUGUUUUGACCAUGCCACUGGCAAGUACCAGGUCACUGAAAGGGGUGGUACAACGUCAGAUGGUGAGAUCCGACCAUCAAGGAGUUAUAUUGUUGUCCUGACUGAUUUUUCAUGUGGAUGUGGGAGACCAAGACAGUACCACUCUCCUUGUUCUCACUAUAUUGCAGCAGCUAGGCAUCGCAACUUUGACUACGAGACCAAGAUACCAUGGGAGUUGAGUGUUGAUAGCCUUGUGCUAACUUGGUCGCCCCGUUUUGAGCCUUUCCUAGAUGAGGGGCAGUGGCCAGAAUACAUUGGCCCAAGGUACAUUGCAGAUCCAGGUGCUCGCUGGAACAAACGUGGAACCAGAAAGCGUACGAGGCAUAAGAUGGUCAUGGACCAGAUUUCAGGUAGAACGAGGCGAGGGAGAGCAACCCCGUUUGUUACUGACCCCGAGCAAAAUCAAUGUGGCAAAUGUGGUAGACUUGGACACAACUCGCGUACUUGCCAUUGGCCGCUAAGUCAGGUGCACUUAAUAUUCUAUGUACUUUAGUUGUUAAAUACUUUCAUAUGCAACUUACUUUUUGGCAGACAUACAUGUUCUAGUGCUCCUUUGUUUAAUAUAAUGACAUUGUAAUGUAUUAUUUUUUUCUGCUUAAUUACUAACUAAUGGAUCAAAUUUGUUUAUAGGAUGGAGCAGUUCCACCUCCUGGAUCCAUACUACGAGGUGAAGCACCGAGGACGACUCACUGCCGAGGGGGCGGUACUAGUGCUGCGAUGAAUGUGCAUGUGCCACAGGAACGACAAUGCAACACACCUGUUGUGCAUGGUACAUCUUCUUUGGGAGGUAUAAUUUUAUUAAAUUUGUUGUUUAUUUGAACUGAGCAAUUUACAUGGUAUGAGAUAAUGAAUUAAGUGCACACAUAAUUUGAACAAUGUUUAUAGGAUCUGGAGGACAGAGCUCGUCUCGGCCAACUAUGGACACUUUUCAAAGCGAUGAUGAUGAGGACGAAGAGGGGGUGGCCGAGGAGCGUGACUAUGACGAGCUUGGGUUAUCUCAGCUUCCUGAUGCUCCUUCUACUCAGCCUACGCAGGUUGCAAGAAGGCGACGUCGUUCGCCUUCUAGGUACACUCCAGGCACCGAUGCUCUUGGCCACAAGGGUAAGGGUAAGACUAGGAGGCAGUGAGGAUGACUUCUAUGCUAACACCAUGGUAGCAACUUACAAUUUAUGGCAUAACUUCUGUUAUUUUGCAUGUAUCGACACUGUGAACUUUGUGGACUAUUUGUACUAUAUGAGACUGUAUGGUCUCUGUGGACUAUCUGAACUAUCAUUCCUGAUGGCAUACGUGCUUGUGUUGUGAUAUUUGGAUGAAUCAAUGUUCCUAUUGUACUGUGAUGUCUAUUUAUAACUGUGGAUGUACCAAAAACAGGGGAAACUCUUGCAAAUUUUUUCCAUGAAUCUAUCAAUGUAGUGCACAUAUUCUGUGGUCCAUUCCUAUUGGUUUUGGCAGUGUAGGCUUUUCAGAAACAGUGAACCAAUAUGGCUUUUCAUUGAAUCAUCACAUCCGAAACAGUGAACGAAUCUAAAUAGACUUUUCAGUUUUCAACUAGCCUUUUCAGUAAUCGAAUCUAGGCUUUUCAAAUGACAAUCCAAAUAGACUUUUCAGUUUUCAACUAGGCUUUUCAUUAAUCGAAUCUAGGCUUUUCAGGUGCAUUUAUUAUAUACUACAACGGCUACCAACUAUUGGGUUCCUAUAUAUAUACGCAGUGGUGAGAGCGUUGCUACUCACUUGAGAUUGUUAAGUUCAAGUAAAAAUGUCUGGAGGGUCGUCUAGAGGGAAGGGAAAGGGAAAGGCGGCGAUGAAGGGUAAUCCCUUUCUUUGGGAGGGUCCUCUUGGUCCUAAAGACUUUGAGGAAGCAAUUUAUGAUAGGUUCCCCCUUGAGAGCAAACAUGAUUUUACUAAAGAGGCACCACUGAGGGCAUAUGAUGACCGAAAAGAAGAGUGGCCAAAAUGUAUGCAUGGUGAGGAUUGUUUGGUGCAGAUGUACACAGAGGGGAUAGAUGGAGGGCGUCGUUUCUUCAAAUGUCCACGAGCAUGGGUAAGUCAUAUUACUAAUUCAACCUUCAAUAAGAUACUCUCUUGUGCUAAAGCUACAUACUUAUUGCAGUCAUCCUUGUCAAAAGAGAACUGUGGCUUCACCAGAUGGGUCGAUCCUAGACCUAUUCAUCCCCAUGCAGAGUACAUCUACUACCUGCAGGACCGUAUCUUUGAUUUAGAAACGGAAGUUAGCUGUGGUUACAAUGACGACGAAGAGGGCGACAACAGCAAUGGUACUGGCUCCCAAAACACAAUAUGCAAUGAUCCAUACUGCACAUGCCCUAAUCACAAGAACAAGGGCCCUCCUUCACCACCACCCCCACCACCACCACCAACAACGGGAGGAUACUAUGGAGAAGGGGCAACACAGUUUGCUAUGUGGCCACACUACUAGGUAGAACUGAACUAAUUCACAGGCCACAUCCAUAUGUUUGUUGUUUGGUUUAAUCACCUAAGGCAUGUUAGGGUUAGUCGAAAGAACUAUGUACCUUUGUGUGGUAUAUGUUCUCACAUGCCAUUUCCUGUGCUUGUUAAUUGCUUGAAUUACCUAAGGCAUGUUAGGUUUAGUCUCAGACCUCUGCACCCUUGUUUGGUGCAUGUUUUGACAUGCCAUUCAAUGUGAUGUGUGCUACUAGUUAUGCAAUAUACUAGUUCGUUAACUUCUAUUUCAACUAAUUAUUCUCAUUUCAUUGCCUAUGCAAUACUCAAAUAAAAAUACUGUCUACUGAUAAUGAAACCAAAUUAAAAUUGCUAAAGUGCAUUACAUAACAACAAAUUGAAAAGUCCAACACAAGACAAUAUUAUCCAUGAACCAAACAAAGAACAAGAAGGUAAUGUAACUACUGAGUGCAACGAGGCCACUUUCCCUUCCUCUGGGCAUCUGGAUUCUCAUCCAUCGCUGCCUUCGCUCGGCGCACACGCUCAAGCUUCUUUUCCCUCUCCUCCCGAGCCGCAGCAACACGUCUUCUUUCCUCCUCUUCCUUGUGCUCCCGCUUUUGAGCCUCCUCUCUACGUCUCUUCUCUAAUAUCUCUGCACGCUCUGCAUCCCACUCCUUUAGGCCUUGUAGAAGCCGCUUGUCGGACUCCUUAAUCUCAGUGUCGAUCCACUGCUCAAAAUCACACAAUGGUGGAGGGGUCUGCAACAAAUAUAUUUGUUCAAAUAAUUAAAUCAUGCUGCAUAGGACACAAAUUAAUAAGUGCACAAUAGAAAAAAUAACUUACAAUAAAGUUACUGCGGCGUUGUUUUGGCGUAGGCUCCCAGGCAAAAUUCGAACACAUCCAAUACCUCUGCCGAUAGGUUUCCUCGUCUUCCGAAAUUUCUACCUUGCAAGGAUCACCACAAAAGCACAUAGGUACUGGAACACCGCUAGGAAGCGGCUUGUGGAUGUACGGACUCCCGGUCGUCCGGCCAUAGCUACAGUUCAAAGAAUUCAAUUCUAAGAAAUCAUAGCAAAUAACGAUUGAACCGAAAACUACAAUUUACCGAAUGAUAAAUAAUAACGAAUGAAAUUUAUCGAAACAUGUCGAAAGGUUACCUUGGUUUGCUACUUUUUCCACGACGUGGCAUUCUACGAUUGCAUAAGAAAAAUAUUAAUCAUCCAUUCAAAAAACUAUAAAUGGUUUAUCUAAGUCUACAACAUACGUGUAAUAUAGGUCAUAUGAAUGAGUCAAAAACUAAUAUUUGAAAGAGUAUACCUGGCUCUUCAAGAUCUAUGGAACAAAUCAAACUUUUGAUGGUCCAAAUAUUGAAUCCAAAUUCGUGCUCGGUUUUUGGAGAGAAAAAGCCGAGAGGGGAGAUGAAAAUAUGAACUGCGUCCACAGGUAGCGAAGUGCGUCGGCCAAUUUGUAGCAGGGAGCUCGGCGCCGUGAUCUGUGGCGCCGAGCUCGGCGCCGUGAUCUGUGGCGCCGAGCUCGGCGCCGUGAUUUGUGGCGCCGAGCUCCCUGCCACGUCAGAUCCACGUCACAAGGCAGCCAGGUACCUCGGCGCCGUGAUCCAUGGCGCUGAGACGUGAAACCUCGGCGCCAUGAUGCAUGGCGCCGACCCCCUGGGUCCAUUUCUGCAUUUAAGUUUUCCAAGGGUCCAAUAGUGAACUUUUUUCAAAAAAAGGACCAAAUUGUAAAAAAUUAGGGCGGGGCGCGAGGAUUGAGCGAUUUUGUUUCCUUUUUCGGGCGGAAGAGAGAGCCGGGCGGGAUGACAUCGCCGGAGGCAGGACGAAAGCGAGAGGGGAGAAUGUCGCACUAAAAGUUUGUCCAUCUUUUAGUCUUUUUAGUUGUAUAUGUAGGAGAUAUAUAUUCAGGCGAGAGUCAAAAGGAGAGGCAGGUCUACCUUCAGCACUCUCGCUUUUUCGGAUUAAGUCCACUUUUAGCCCCUCAACUAUUGGCCGAGUUUAAUUUUAACCCUCAACUAUAAAACCGUCUGUUUCUCACCCUUAACUAUCAAAACCGGUCACUUUUAGCACCCGGAGAGAGGACAGGGCGGUUUUGAGCCACUUUGAGCGGUUUUUCUUUUUUCUUUUCUAUGGUUAAACCUGUGAAUUUCAUAGUGAAUUGUUUGAGCAUGGUAAAUUCAUCAAAUUUUUUGGGUAGCGUUGUCAUGAUGUUCUCUAUGCAUAAAAAAUGUGAAACUAUGAAAGUAAGUAUUUUUUGAUUGCUAAAAAAUUAGCUCUUUUAAUUAAUAAAUACAUGUUCUAUGAUUUUUGUAGGAUAAUAUAUACAUUCUAUGAUCAUGAAACUUUUUGUGUAACUGUUUUAUACUAAGAUAGACCUUAAAAAAAGUUUAGGAUUAAUUUAAUGAUGUUUGCUUGUGUCCCUCAUUUAUAUGUAAUUAAUAAAGCAUAUAAAUUAGGGAUAUAAGCAAACAUCAUCAAAUUAAUCUCAAACUUUUUAUGAAGGUCUAUAUUAGUAUAAAACAGUUAUGCAAAAAGUUUCAUGAUCAUAGGAUAUAUAUAUUAUCCUAUAAAAAUUAUAGAACAUGUAUUUAUUAAUUAAAAGAGCUAAUUUUUUAGCAUCCAAAAAAUACUUACUUUCAUAGUUUCAAAUUUGUUCUGCAUAGAGAACAUCAUGACAAGGCUACCCAAAAAAUUUGAUGAAUUUAUGAUGCUCAAACAAUUCACUAUGAAAUUCACAGGUUUAACCAUAGAAAAGAAAAAGAGAAAACCGCUCAAAGUGGCUCAAAACCGCCCUUGUCCUCUCUCCAGGUGCUAAAAGUGACCGGUUUUGAUAGUUGAUGGUGAAAAACAGACGGUUUUGUAGUUGAGGGAUAAAAUUAAACUCGGCCAAUAGUUGAGGGGCUAAAAGUAGACUUAAUCCCGCUUUUUAUGAAGUGCUUGAUGAGCAGGAAAUGCGUACGUACUGAAUAGGAUAAUAUUAAAUCCACUACUUGCAACUUAAAAAAUGACAAGUGUGCUGGAGGAAAAUAAUGACAAGUGUCGGCUCAUGGCUUGUCAGCCGAAUAAAGUCUUAUUUUUAAGAAAAAAUUUAAGUGUUUAAACUUCAAAUCAAAAACAUCACUUUCACUUCACAUGGCAAAAUAAAGAACAACAGAGAAUUAUAUGAAAAUGAUAUAUAUAUAUAUAUAUAUAUAUAUAUAUAUAUAUAUAUCAAAAUGCGCUGAUGUGCAAUGCUGCCUCAUUAAAAACCUUUCAAGGUAUCACCUUGGCGAGCGGCCAGGGAGCGAGCAUCCAAGCACGAGAGAGAACGAACGAGACAACACCGUUAGACCGACGGCGAGCGGCGGCGGAAGAAUAGACAGGACAACGACUCACAUGGUACACCGAAGGAGGAGUAGGGAAGGGAAAGGAGGUAGGAGAGGGAGGGCGAGGUCACCGGAACAGAGCUGGUCCGACGAGCUCAGUCGAGCAGGCGACCGACGGCAGAUCGGAUCGGAUCAGAGCGAGACGAAGACGAAGACGAGCGAGGCGAGCUACGACGGCGGGGUGGGAGGAUUGGAUUAGGGUUAGGGAUUUGGGGGUGGGGGGGCUACCGACUGACAGUGUUAUAUAAUGCGGCGCCCGAUGUAGGCUGUGGGUUGGGCGCCUGGGCCAGCCAUUGGAGGAGACAAGGAGCACAGGAGCGGCCAUGCUGGCCUUUUGGCUGUGUCGUGCCUGUGCCGUGUCAUGGGCCAGGCACACAGCCCAUGCACUGCACAGGGCACCGGGCCGUGCUACCACGGGUAUGCCAACCAUCGUGCCGUGCCACCCGUGGGCCAUGCCAAAAGGCCAUGUCGUGCCAUGCCGCCGGCACAUGGGCCGCAUGGCCAUAUAUAUGCCUUGCAUUGCAUGUUCACACGGAUAGAUAUAUACAAAUAUUAUGCUGCAGCUUGGGCGCAUGCAUCUACGUUGUAGAAAGGACUGUUAACUGAUUUGUUUCGAGAGAAAAAACACUGCUAAAUGGUUGAUAGAUUCGGAUGAUAAGCUCAAACUAGCAGGCUAUUUAUUCGUGCAACGCUGACCCAUGCAUCAUAUUCGCUUGAGCUUAUCUACCGAAUCUGUCGGUCAUUCAACAGUGUUUUUCUUAGUACUUUCAGUCAUGGCUUAUCAGCCAAGUGAAUAGAGUGGCAGGCAGCUUCCAGUGUCGCACCUAGCACUGAGGUCUCACUGCUGGCCCGUGCGAGCGAGCAAUGAGUUCAAAUAAUGCCAUUGCUACAUGUUAGUAUUAGGAUAACAUUCAUUCCAGCAAGAUCAUUGUUGUUGAAGGAUGCAAAUGCAAUGAAAACUCAACCGGACAGGUGGUGAGCAGGGGCGCCACUAUAGGAAUCGCCAUCUUUGUUGAGUGGCAAAAGUCAGGCACUCGACAAAGAGCCACUUUGCAGAGUGCCAGACCUAACACUCGGCAAAGAACUAACACUCGGCAAAGAGCCACUUUGCCGAGUUCUUUGCCGAGUGCCUGACUCUUGCCAAAGUCAGACACUCGGGAAAUAAGUUCUUUGCCGAGUGCCCGGCGCCGGCACUCGACAAAGAGUGUUAGGGUCAAACAGCAUCCAUGGCCGUCAACUUUGCCGAGUGCCCGUCGUCACGCACUCGGCAAAGAGCUACCACGUGGCAGGCUCAGGUGUUGUCAGGCCAGCUCGCCUUUGCCGAGUGCCACGUGACAUGCACUCGACAAAGGACUCCUUUAUCGAGUGCCUGUCACGUUAGCACUUGGCAAAGAACACUUCAGAUGACGGUGACAUGUGGCAUUCGGCAAAGAAUUCUUUGCCAACAAAUUCUUUGUCGGGUGCCCUUUAAGGCUUUGCCGAGUGCGGCCUGCACUCGGCAAAGAAACCUAAUCCUAUAGUGCACUAGUGCGCCACAGCCUCCACUAUCGUUGCACUACCACUGUUGCACAUUAGGGAAUGUACAGCCUGCUUUGAGAACCCGUCUGUAUGAUGUAAUCAAAGGAGGGUCGUCAAAUUUAGCACAAUUCAUACGGCAUCAUUCCAUCGCGCCGAACAAAAACACCGCCCACACACAACGCAACCUCCAGCCCUUGGGGCACCGGAUCCAGUGUCCUAGGCCGCCACAGCCUCCAACAUCAUGGCCACCGGCACGCUACUGGUAGCAGCGAGGAAGGCGGCCACCUUGCUGACCUGCCACUUGCCUCUCCGUGCAACCAACCAGUGGCGAAGCUAGAGCAAAUAAAAGGUGGUGCAUUUCUCUUAAAAAAACAUAAACUAUAGCUAUAAUCAUGGUGAAAAAUUGAUUUACUUAAUGGUGUUUAAUUUUUUUGUGGGUGCAUGUGCACCCACUGCCUUGUAUGUAGCUUCGCCACUGCAACCAACUGUUGCAACAUGACACCCAUCGGAGCUCUGCACACAUCCUCCCAUGGGAGUGCCGGAUCUGGCCAUCGGGACGCUGAAUCCGCACCGGCGCUGCCGUUGUCAACGAGCUUGGCGAUUCUCGAGCAGCUACAGUAGACCACAGCUUGGGAAGAAGCCCUGCCACUGCCUUCCUUGCGCCCGCACAAGCUUCCGGUGGCGCGCUCUGGCGGCGGCGAGGAAGAGGAGGCCAGGAGAGGUGGUGGAGGCACCGGGCGGUGGUUCUGCCCGUGCUGCCCCGAGGGACGACGUGGGCAACUGAGAUUGGUAUAAGCAAUGUGGAAAAGAUUUAAGCUUGUUAUUACUAGCAGGGGGUGGCUGUGCUCUUAUGUUAGUCCUUAUGGCUCAGUAAAAAUGUUAGUGUUUUUGACAAAUGUAGUCUGAAGAUAUUUUUGCAUGUCUAUUUAAGGGGAACACAUUGGUUUCGGUUUUGGGGUCAGUUGCAACAAAGUGAAGAAAAGAAACAAUACAUCUACAAGGCUUGUGAGACAGAAGACAUGAGAUUUAGCCUUUUUCCCUCCUAUAAGGAUGACCCGUUAUGUCUAGGUUUGUUUGAACUGAAUUUUUCUCAAUUUUGUGAGUCUACUUAAAGCAUGAGUGUGAAAACUUGUUAGUAAAUAUGUAGUCUGAAAUCCUCCAUUAUGGGCAAGGAUGAAACCAGAUAUUUCUUCCAUUAUUAUUUUUUAAAAAAUAGGAAUAUAAUUAUUCCUGAAUAAGGUGUUGCCAUUGCAAAAGUUGACGCGCUGCAUUGUUGUAUAGAACAAAUUAAAGAGAGAAGCAGAGCCAAGAGUGUUUGACCGACUCUGAGCCUUUGGUGAAGUGUCAGGCCUUGUUUAGUUUCCAAAAAAAUUCAAGAUUCUAUAUAAUAUCGAAUCUUUGGACGUACGUAUGGAGCAUUAAAUAUAGAUAAAAGAAAAAAUUAAUUGUACAGCUUGUCUGUAAUUUGCGAGACGAAUCUUUUAAGCCUAGUUAGUCCAUAAUUAGAUAAUAAUUAUUAAAUACAAACAAAAUGCUACAGUAGCCAAAACUAAAAAUUUUCCUCACAAGGCCUCGAAUAAAAAAAAAGAAGAAGAGGACUUUGAGCUGGAAACGCGUGCCUAGAAAGAGCAUAGUAGUAGCCAUUGUGCAAGUUUGCAUGCCGACCUGCCGAGCAGGGGUUGCCAGCACUCGGAGAAAAACUGUGUUCUUCCAAGAAUGGUUCAUGAGUCCAUGACACACGAUGGAGGGGCCCAACAAACGAAGAGGAACCAUCCGGGAAGCUGCCGUGGAGUUGUCAUGCACGUACCGCUGCUUUCGGGAUGGCGCAACUACCGUGUGCACUGGCUAGGCCUUGUUUAGUUGGCAGAAAUUUUCGUUUUUAGCUACUGUAGCACUUUCGUUUUUAUUUGUCAAACAUUAUCCAAUCACGGAGAGCAACUCCAACAGUUUGGCAAAUGCACUUGGCAAAUUGAGAUUUUUGGCAAAACUACAAAAAAGCUCCUCCAACAAGUUGGCAAAAUCACUUGGCAAAAAUUCAAGGUUGGCAAAUUCUUCCCCAACCGGCGCAUAUAUGCGCGCUUCGUUGGACUUGGCAAAUCGCGGUUUUCGGCCCGUGGCCGGUUCUCCCGCGCGCGAACUGUGAAACUUAGGCCUUGUUUAGUUCCGAAAAGUGAAAAGUUUUCGGUACUGUAGCACUUUCGUUUGUUUGUGACAAAUAUUAUUCAAUCAUGGACUAACUAGGAUCAAAAGAUUUGUCUCGUGAUUUACAGCUAAACUGUGUAAUUAGUUUUUGUUUUUGUCUAUAUUUAAUGUUUCAUGUAUGUGUCAUAAAAUUCGAUGUGACGGGAAAUCUUGAAAAUUUUUUGGUUUUCAGGGUGAACUAAACAAGGCAUCAGGUGCUGACAGCGACGUGUUCACCAGCUGCUGCUUUUUGUUUUGUUCACUGCCAAACAACGACAGCGUGUGGCCAGCAAAUCGACAGCAGCAGCUGACAUGCUGAUCUCCUCUAAUAUGAAUGACACAGCAACACGCAAGUGGUAAGCUCAAACUGAUUCCAUAUAAUUUAAAAACAACUCAAGCUCAACUCAAGCUUUAGUCUCAUACAUGGUACUACCUGCAUAUAAUUUAAAAACAACUCAAACGUAGUCUCAUACAUGGUACUACUUGCAUAUAAUUUGAAAACAAAUCAAACUUAGUCUCAUACAUGAAAGACUCCUCAAAUUUGGUAGCUAUAUAAAUCGGGGUGAUUGUUCCAGAGGUGCUCAAUGAGGUCUUCUUUGAGUUGGACAUGUGUUUCGGGGUCUCUGAUUUCUUUGUGCGCUUCAAUAAAUUCUUGUAAUGUCCGCGUGGGCUGGCCAUGUACGAUGGACUGAGCAACGACGACGAAGUGAAACGGCACGGCAACGGCCCAAAUAAUUCAUACAUGUGGGCCACGAAAUUUUAAUUUGCCAACUCCAAAUAGCUCACUGUUGGAGAGGCCUCUUUUUUCCACUUGGCAUUUGGGAUUUAGACUUGGCAAAAAUAGAGAUUUGCCAAGUGUAAUUUGUCAAACUGUUGGAGUUGCUCUAUGACUCAAAAGAUUCAUCUCAUAAAUUACAGAUAAACUGUGCAAUUAGUUUAUAUUUUCAUCUAUAUUUAAUACUCCAUGCAUAUGACCAAAAAUUUAAUGUGACGGGAAAUCUUGAAAAUUUUUGCGAACUAAACAAGGCCUCAGGAUAAAAUCAUGCAAGGGAAGAAAACGCAUCAUGCAUUACUCGCAAGCAGGCCAUGUUAACUGUACAGUAUAUAACUAUAUAUAGAACAAAGCGUUUGUCCUUCUGAAAUCUGAUUUUUUUCCUUCAUAUGUAAAGAAAAAACCAAACAAAACGCUGCAUGCUCUGAUAGAAACGCUGGCUGGGUCUGUCUGACCGACCAGAGUUCGUGCACUUCACCAACCCCCCAUCCAUCCCCCCAUGGAGAGAAUAAAACAGUGCAGUUCACCAAUUCACUUCUUCACAUCAAGGAAGUUUGCAGCAGCUCGCUGGAGUACAGGCAGGAUGGAAGCAGUGAGCAGCAAGUAGAUAACGCACUUCUUCAUGGGAAAGCAGAGGUUGAGGAUGCCCCAAUUGCCUUUUUGUUUUGGGCUGCUUCCUUGAUACAUCAACUCCUGAAAUCGUCCUCCACAGGUACCUGAAACGUGUCCAUCCACGUUUUCACCCAUGCAGGUCGUUCAUCUUGACUAAUAGGCUACUCAAGGACUGGCAACUGUGCCAAGUGCACUUGACCUGAGUACUCAGAAGUAACUCAAAAUAUUCAAGAAAUUGAACAGUACAAGAGUUUGUCUGUGUUUUUUUACAUCUCCAUCAGCAGCAGCCAAAUUAUUAAACCAAACCAAAUUUUAACUCCUUGUGCUGCUUGCAUAUUGAACUACAUGAUAUUAGUAUUUUGCUAAACAAGACGACUGCUCAGUAUUCCUGCUUUUCCCUUUAGUGGCAUCACCGCGCAUAUCUGUGUCAACUUUUUGGGGAGGGUGUUCAACUGAAAAAUUAAUAAAAUCACAGAGGCUUCAAGAACAGCACACAACUGUAGCUUGUGAGGCACACAAAAGCACAAAUGGUACCAUGCCCUCCAGACCCAAAUGAUUAAAUGAAUGAAACUGGAUCAUGCAAUACAAACAAGAACCUCUCCUUAGCUCUAGAAAACCAUGAAUCAACACAAAUGGUCGAUGGACCAGAUCUACCUCAAACUAGAGUUCAAAUUAUCCAACUCAUACAUGCAUCUGGCAACCGGGCCUUGUUUAGUUCGUGAAAAGAAAAGUUUUUGGAUACUAUAGCACAUUUGUAACUAUAGCAAUUAGUGUCCAAUUAUGGACUAAUUAGGGUUAAAAGAUUCGUCUUGUAAAAUACAUGCAAAAUGUGUAAUUAGUUAUUUUUUAAUCUAUAUUUUAUACUCCCUCCAUACUUGAAUUACUUGUCGUUCUGGCCUUCUGCAACGUUCUCGUAAAAGAUGUCGCUGUGCAUUCGCAGCAUUAGUUUGGACGCAAAUGCCCCCGUCCCUCCACCUUUUGACUUCACGACCAUCAAAAAAAGUAUGCUGGCGGGGAUUCGAACCGUCAACAUCCAGCGUUGAAGACAGAGAACCAGCCAAUUGAGCUAUGCAACAUUGUUAUAAAGGUAACACCUGUAGCGUUAUUUAAUAGGGGCAAAGAAGGAAAAAUACCCUAUAAUUAAUUACUCCUUGGUAAGCACAAUCAUGUCCUAAACGUCAACUAAAUCAGGUAUGGAGGGAGUACUCCAUACAUGUGUCCAAACAAUGCUAUGUUUCACUAUACGUAUACCAAGUAAACAUGCAUACAUUAGGAUAAAUAUUUAUUUAAUAACUUAUCAAGCAUGUAAAAAUAUUUCCUUAACAAACCACAAAGCAUCUAUUAUGCUUGUGGCUGUUCCCCCUUUGCUAAUAUGCUCUAUCUUCUGUCAUUGCGAAGGAGGCCUCAGCUCUUGUGUUGGGCACUCGGCAGGCACUGCCCUUGCUUCAUCUCUGCAGCAAGCAUCGAUUAGCCUUGCCCUGCUCACCUGCAGAGGCUGGAGGGCCUGCAGCAACGAGAGCACCGAUACCUGAUCGGACCCUGUGCGCUGGCUGUCAUGUCUCUCCCUCCCUCCGACGAGAUCGAUGGGGACGAGAAUAUUAUCAGGAGUUCCCUCUGUUCCGGCUUCAAGCUGCAGAGGAGUGUACCGGAACGGAAAGUUCCCUCGUCCCUACUCACCGGAGACUGCAUCGAAUUUAUAUAUUUUUACUUUUAGGUGCCCAACUCAACUCAUGUAACUUCUGUGCCUUGUGACAAACCUGUACUGUAAAAUGUGGCAUUAAAGCAUGCAUUCGAUCUCCACCAUAGGACAUAUAUAGCAGCAAGCAAGAUGCAGUGCACAACACCAUCAUGAGAAGCGUCCUCCAGCACAAGAAAUUUUACGGUUUCAAACCGUCACAAAUGCUUUUCAAAAUCAUCACAUCUGUGCAUCUGCCUGCCUUCUUAUUCUUAUGCCCAGUACAAGCAGCCAUGGUGCUGAAACUCUCUCUACCUUGUGGUGACUGGUGAGUCACACACACACAAACACACACCUGUAUUCUGAUUAGGACAGGCCAUGCAACUAGCAAACCACAGUCAGUAUAUAUCAAACAAUUUUCCAUCUUUUUUUUGAGAGAACUGGAGGGGCUUUCGCCCCUACAGGUAAUUUAUUAAAAGGAAAAGACAGUACAACUAUAGAAACACAUACGUACAAUAAAAACAGAGAAAACAACAGGAUCCACUCAGGGAACCUUAAAAGAAACAAAAAAACACAGCAGAAAGAGACUACCAGCUAACCAGCUACCAGCUAAGCAACAGAGAAAAGCCAUUGAAGAAACGAAUGUUCAGAUCUUGAAUUUACUCUGAACUUGAGCACUUUGAGCUCCUUGAUAAAGCUGGUCCUGCUAGAAGAGACUUGGGGCUGAAUGUUGUCAAAAAUGAAAGCAUUCCUGGUAGUCCAAAUUGCCCAGCAUAAGAGAAUUAUAGACUCCAUGAAGAACCGAGAACCAAUUGCAUCUUUUAGGAAGUGCAUACUAGAAGGCAUUUCUGCAACUGCUGGAAUAUCCACACCUAUUGACUGCCAACAUUGCUUGGCAAAUUCGCACUGAAGGAACAGGUGAUGGACUGUUCCUUCGAUACCCAGAUUACAUAGAACACAACUGUAUGAUUGUAAAAGUUGUAUGAUUGUAAAGCCAUGUUUUUCUGUCUCAAAAUAUUCCUUGUGCUGAGCCUAUCUUUCAAGAGCAGCCAAAAGAAAACCUUAUGCUUUGGCUGACAAAAGCAGUUCCAUAUCCACUGUAUGGACUGAUGGUGGUGGGACUGUCCCUUGAUGAACUUGUAUGCCCUUGACGAAGAGAAGUGCUGGCCCCACUGAUAUUUCCAUUUGUCGUUAUUCUCAUUCAGGUUGAAGAAAUCCCUCUCUUGAUGAAGUGCUUGUAACUGAUUAAAAGCUAUUUCUGACAGAGGCAAGUUUAACAGAUGUGUGAAGUCCUCUUGUACCCAUGCUUUUGCCACUGAUAUUGCCUUUGUUUUUGCAAAGGAGCAUAAUUCUGGGAAUCUUAUUUCCAAGCUCUGUUGAUUCCAACUAUCCACCCAGAACAGACAUGUCUCACCGGAGUUUACUUGAAUUUGAACCACCUAUUUGUAAUGCUGUAAGUUUUUCUGGUUGUCUCUCCACAAAAAUGAUCCUUUCUUGGAAACACCUGGUAAUUUGCCAUUUGGAUAGUGCUUCUCCCAAACAAUCUGUACCCAAGGUAUGUCUUCCUUAUUGAAAAAUUUAUGCAGAUUUUUCAUUAGAAGUGCUUUGUUUUGUUUCUCAAUGUCUAUUACUCCUAGUCCUCCUUCCUGUUUUCCAAUACAGACCAUUUCCCAAGCUGCUUUUGGCUUCCCUCUUCCAUUGAUGUCUGAUCCCCUCCAAAGGCAAUUUUUUCUAUAUUUAUCAAUUUGCUUGAUUACUGUUUUUGGGAGUUCCAACGAGCACAUGUAGAAUGUGGGUAGAGCUGAAAAAACUGCAUUUGUUAGCUCUAACCUUCCAGCCUGAGUUAGAAAAUUGGAUACACUUAACAAUCUUCUCUCACAUUUACUGACCAGAGGUGGUUAAACCCAAAGGCAAACCCAAAUAAGUGAAUGGUAAAGUCCCCUUGGAGCAGCCAAAAGUUCUAGAUAAGUGAUCAAGUCUUUCCUCAGACAAGUUGACUGGUAACAUCAUGGAUUUUCUAUAGUUUACCUUCAGGCCAGUACAAUUGGCAAAGGUGUUAAGCAGAGAUUUAAGAAACAUUAACUGUCUUGAGUCUGUCUCCAUGAUUAUCAAGGUAUCAUCAGCGUAUUGCACUAUGGGGAAGUCCAGAUUAGAAUUUAAGGGAAAGGGCAAUCUUAGCAGACCUAAAUCCUUCCCUUUAUUGACCAAAGACUGAAGGAAAUCUGCUGCCAGGACAAAUAAUAAGGGGGAUAAGGGAUCCCCUUGUCUGACUCCCCUUUUGCAAUUAAAAGUCUUCCCUGGCACCCCAUUCAGUAAAACUGCAGAAGUAUCGGACUCAAAGAUUUUUCUCAUCCAUUUUAUCCAUAACUGGCCAAACCCCUUGGCCUGCAUUAGGAUUAUCAUUGCUUCAUGUUCUAUUUUGAUAUACACACAACGAAAUUGCAUAGACACAGACGAGCGUCAUGUGAAUUGUGACUGACGAGAUGACGAGCUGGCCCAUCAUGUUGAUUGAACAACAGACCACAAACGUCUGUUCUUCUGGAAUCUGAAAUUCCAUACUCCUAUGUGACAAAGAUCAAAGCAUUGCACUACACAGGCGCGCAGAGAAUUCUUCAUAUCAUUUGAAGCCAAUUGAGGACACCUAGCUCCCAGGUGCAGUGGGCCUACAAUGCAAUAAUAGGGAAAUCCAUAAAUGUCAAAACUACAUUCUCAUCCAAAGUAUUCAAGAAAUCAAACCGAAUUUUAAACAAUAAUAAGGAAAUUGGCUCUCUAGUGAAUGUACACAUGAAAACAGGGGGACUGCCCAUAGCUACAGCUACAAAUAGCACAACAAACUCACCCGAUUAAGCGGCAGCUUGCAAUCGCUGGCCAAAUCCUCCCCACACGGCCACACCCCGUUCAUCCGUCUGAUUCUGAACCAAUGAAGAUAUCAGGGAUGUGGGAGAUGAGGUGCCAGUCCUCCCCUGUUCCUCUCUUGCAGCGCCUCUCCAGGUCGGGGCAGAACAAGAUCGCCAAUAGAUUCAGAGACGUGAGGUCCUUUAUCCCCUCCGGCAAGGAUUUGAUGCCCGGGCAUGCGUAGAUUCUGAGCUCUUGAAGAGAGGUGGUGAGGCGGCAGAUGGAUUGUGGAAGGCAGGUCAGCUCUCGCAAGUCUGUAAUCUCGAGUUUGCGUAGAGAGCAGAGUUCUCCGAGGCAGUCGGGCAACUGUUGAACUGCAUCGCAAUAUCCUAUCUCGAGCAACUGGAGGGAUGUGAGUUGACCCAUUGUUUGGGGGAGGCUGGUCAGGCUAUGGCAGUGAUUGAUUUUCAACUCUUGCAGACACCGGAGUUCCCCUAGCGACUCGGGUAACUGGUGAAGUGCUUCGCAUGAUUGUAUUACGAGCUUCUGGAGGGAUGUGAGUUGACCCAUUGUUUGGGGGAGGCUGGUCAGUCUAUCGCACCUGUCGAUGAUCAACUCUUGCAGAGACCGGAGUUCCCCUAGCGACUCGGGUAGCUCGCAGAUAUCAUCCCAGUCAUGCAGGCUCAGGGACCUCAGGGAUGUGAGGCUCCA